Long non-coding RNA from Girardinichthys multiradiatus, 381 nucleotides. RefSeq lists it as uncharacterized. The record is from RefSeq and is a predicted model, not a curated record. NCBI's taxonomy places the organism in Eukaryota, Metazoa, Chordata, Actinopteri, Cyprinodontiformes, Goodeidae. The transcript has 3 exons.
UGGUCAAACAAAGAUGUAGCCUAAAUGCAGACACAGUCUGUGAACCAAUUGAGGGGUUCUUCUGUACAGACCCUAAAUCAGGAGGCUGUGGUGUAGCACAGAAACACAAGAGCUGUGAACCAGGACAGUACAUCAGCAAGAAAGGAACAGCCUCCACAGACACAGACUGCUCUGACUGCUUCAGUAGAACAUUUUCUAAUGGGACAAUGUUGUCUUGUCAGCAACACAGACAAUGUGAAAAAGAAAACCUUCAGCUGAUAAAAGCAGGAACAGCUUCAACUGACGCUGAAUGUGGAGAAGAAGGUUCCAAUAUCACAGGAAUAGUGAUCGGUGUGGUGGUUUUUUUAGUUGUAGCAGCGAUUGCUGCUGUACUUAACUGGA